UACGAAGGGGGCUAGCGUUGUUCGGAAUUACUGGGCGUAAAGAGCGCGCAGGCGGUCGUUCAAGUCGAGUGUGAAAGCCCCCGGCUCAACUGGGGAGGGUCAUUCGAUACUGAUCGACUCGAAGGCAGGAGAGGGAAGCGGAAUUCCCGGUGUAGUGGUGAAAUGCGUAGAUAUCGGGAGGAACACCAGUGGCGAAGGCGGCUUUCUGGCCUGUUCUUGACGCUGAGGCGCGAAAGCUAGGGUAGCAAACGGG
RNAcentral lists this ribosomal RNA (253 nucleotides) under uncultured bacterium. RNAcentral describes it as "partial 16S ribosomal RNA". It matches the Rfam family "Bacterial small subunit ribosomal RNA", at positions 524 to 776 of the family's 1533-position model. The record is from RNAcentral.